Molecule: non-coding RNA, 206 nt
Organism: Pelobates cultripes (western spadefoot toad)
Lineage: Eukaryota; Metazoa; Chordata; Amphibia; Anura; Pelobatidae
Source: the annotation of a GenBank genome assembly
GAGUCUACAACCCACACAAGUGGCUCAGGUAGUGCAGCUAAUCCAGGAUGGCACAUCAAUGCGAGCUGUGGCAAGAAGGUUUGCUGUGUCUGUCAGCAUGGUGUCCAGAGCAUGGAGGCGCUACCAGGAGACAGGCCAGUACAUCAGGAGACGUGGAGGAGGCCGUAGGAGGGCAACAACCCAGCAGCAGGACCGCUACCUCUGCC